CUGUAAGGUGUCAUGAUGGUGUCCCGCAGUCAAGAUAAGGCCCUCCCUCACAGUAAGGUGUCAUGAUGGUGUCCCGCAGUCAGGAUAAGGACCUGCCUCACUGUUAGAUGUCAUGAUGGUGUCCCGCAGUCAAGAUAAGGCCCUGCCUCACCGUAAGGUGUCAUGAUGGUGUCCAGCAGUCAAGAUAAGGCCCUGUCUCACUGUAAGGUGUCAUGAUGGUGUCCCGCAGUCAAGAUAAGGCCCUGCCUCACCGUAAGGUGUAAUGAUGGUGUGCUGCAGUCAAGAUAAGGCCCUGCCUCACUGUAAGGUGUCAUGAUGGUG
Molecule: long non-coding RNA, 321 nt
Organism: Haliotis rubra (blacklip abalone)
Lineage: Eukaryota; Metazoa; Mollusca; Gastropoda; Lepetellida; Haliotidae
Exons: 3
Source: RefSeq, a predicted model, not a curated record